UGCCCCAUGGCUAAGUUGGUCAAAGCGUCCGACUGUUAUCUCGGAGAUGAUCCAGUGCAUCGGAAGGUCGUCAGUUCGAGCCUGACUGGGGCAG
Stereum hirsutum FP-91666 SS1 is the source of this 94-nucleotide transfer RNA. It matches the Rfam family "tRNA". Rfam says of the family: Transfer RNA (tRNA) molecules are approximately 80 nucleotides in length. Their secondary structure includes four short double-helical elements and three loops (D, anti-codon, and T loops). Further hydrogen bonds mediate the characteristic L-shaped molecular structure. tRNAs have two regions of fundamental functional importance: the anti-codon, which is responsible for specific mRNA codon recognition, and the 3' end, to which the tRNAs corresponding amino acid is attached (by aminoacyl-tRNA synthetases). tRNAs cope with the degeneracy of the genetic code in two manners: having more than one tRNA (with a specific anti-codon) for a particular amino acid; and 'wobble' base-pairing, i.e. permitting non-standard base-pairing at the 3rd anti-codon position. NCBI's taxonomy places the organism in Eukaryota, Fungi, Basidiomycota, Agaricomycetes, Russulales, Stereaceae. The record is from Rfam.